GAUGAACGCUGGCGGCGUGCCUAAUACAUGCAAGUCGAGCGAACAGACGAGGAGCUUGCUCCUCUGACGUUAGCGGCGGACGGGUGAGUAACACGUGGAUAACCUACCUAUAAGACUGGGAUAACUUCGGGAAACCGGAGCUAAUACCGGAUAAUAUAUUGAACCGCAUGGUUCAAUAGUGAAGGACGGUUUUGCUGUCACUUAUAGAUGGAUCCGCGCCGCAUUAGCUAGUUGGUAAGGUAACGGCUUACCAAGGCAAUGAUGCGUAGCCGACCUGAGAGGGUGAUCGGCCACACUGGAACUGAGACACGGUCCAGACUCCUACGGGAGGCAGCAGUAGGGAAUCUUCCGCAAUGGGCGAAAGCCUGACGGAGCAACGCCGCGUGAGUGAUGAAGGUCUUCGGAUCGUAAAACUCUGUUAUUAGGGAAGAACAAAUGUGUAAGUAACUAUGCACGUCUUGACGGUACCUAAUCAGAAAGCCACGGCUAACUACGUG
This 497-nucleotide ribosomal RNA is filed under the name uncultured bacterium. RNAcentral's name for it is "partial 16S ribosomal RNA". It matches the Rfam family "Bacterial small subunit ribosomal RNA", at positions 28 to 507 of the family's 1533-position model. The record is from RNAcentral.